This 88-nucleotide transfer RNA is filed under the name Bacteroides sp. Its description in RNAcentral is "tRNA-Ser". It matches the Rfam family "tRNA". From Rfam's summary of the family: Transfer RNA (tRNA) molecules are approximately 80 nucleotides in length. Lineage: Bacteria; Pseudomonadati; Bacteroidota; Bacteroidia; Bacteroidales; Bacteroidaceae. The record is from RNAcentral.
GGAGAGAUGGCAGAGUGGUCGAUUGCAGCGGUCUUGAAAACCGCCGAGGGUCACACCUCCGGGGGUUCGAAUCCCUCUCUCUCCGCCA